Molecule: ribosomal RNA, 899 nt
Filed under: uncultured archaeon
Lineage: Archaea
Description: bacterial SSU rRNA
Rfam family: Archaeal small subunit ribosomal RNA
Source: RNAcentral
GUCACUGCUAUCAGUGUUCGACUAAGCCAUGCAAGUCAAAUGUUCUUCGUGAACAUGGCGGACUGCUCAGUAACACGUGGAUAACCUGCCCUUAGGAUUGGCAUAACACCGUGAAACUGGUGAUAAUACCGAAUAGACCAUUUAUGCUGGAAUGCUUUUUGGUUCAAAGGCUUCGGCUGCCUAAGGAUGGAUCUGCGGCCUAUCAGGUAGUAGUGGGUGUAAUGUACCUACUAGCCUACGACGGGUACGGGUUGUGAGAGCAAGAGCCCGGAGAUGGAUUCUGAGACAUGAAUCCAGGCCCUACGGGGCGCAGCAGGCGCGAAAACUUUACAAUGCGGGAAACCGCGAUAAGGGGACACUGAGUGCCAGCAUAUUAUGUUGGCUGUCCACAUGUAUAAAAACCAUGUGUUAGCAAGGGCCGGGCAAGACCGGUGCCAGCCGCCGCGGUAACACCGGCGGCCCGAGUGGUGAUCACUUUUAUUGGGUCUAAAGGGUCCGUAGCCGGUUUGAUCAGUCCUCCGGGAAAUCUGACAGCUCAACUGUUAGGCUUCCGGGGGAUACUGUCAGACUUGGGACCGGGAGAGGUAAGAGGUACUACAGGGGUAGGAGUGAAAUCUUGUAAUCCCUGUGGGACCACCAGUGGCGAGGGCGUCUUACCAGAACGGGUCCGACGGUGAGGGACGAAAGCUGGGGGCACGAACCGGAUUAGAUACCCGGGUAGUCCCAGCCGUAAACGAUGCUCGCUAGGUGUCAGGGACGGUGCGACCGUUUCUGGUGCCGCAGGGAAGCCGUGAAGCGAGCCACCUGGGAAGUACGGCCGCAAGGCUGAAACUUAAAGGAAUUGGCGGGGGAGCACUACAACGGGUGGAGCCUGCGGUUUAAUUGGAUUCAACGCCGGA